GUGGGGAAUAUUGGACAAUGGGCGAAAGCCUGAUCCAGCCAUGCCGCGUGUGUGAAGAAGGUCUUCGGAUUGUAAAGCACUUUAAGUUGGGAGGAAGGGCAGUAAGUUAAUACCUUGCUGUUUUGACGUUACCGACAGAAUAAGCACCGGCUAACUUCGUGCCAGCAGCCGCGGUAAUACUAAGGGUGCAAGCGUUAAUCGGAAUUACUGGGCGUAAAGCGCGCGUAGGUGGUUCAGCAAGAUGGAGGUGAAAUCCCCGGGCUCAACCUGGGAACUGCCUCCAAAACUACUGGGCUAGAGUACGGUAGAGGGUAGUGGAAUUUCCUGUGUAGCGGUGAAAUGCGUAGAUAUAGGAAGGAACACCAGUGGCGAAGGCGACUACCUGGACUGAUACUGACACUGAGGUGCGAAAGCGUGGGGAGCAAACAGGAUUAGAAACCCGGGUAGUCC
This 450-nucleotide ribosomal RNA is filed under the name uncultured bacterium. RNAcentral's name for it is "partial 16S ribosomal RNA". It matches the Rfam family "Bacterial small subunit ribosomal RNA", at positions 354 to 796 of the family's 1533-position model. The record is from RNAcentral.